RNAcentral lists this unclassified non-coding RNA (281 nucleotides) under Neonectria sp. Its description in RNAcentral is "partial contains 5.8S ribosomal RNA, internal transcribed spacer 2, and large subunit ribosomal RNA". The record is from RNAcentral. Lineage: Eukaryota; Fungi; Ascomycota; Sordariomycetes; Hypocreales; Nectriaceae.
AACGCACAUUGCGCCCGCCAGCAUUCUGGCGGGCAUGCCUGUUCGAGCGUCAUUUCAACCCUCGAGCCCGACUUCCUUGCGGAGGACGGCUCGGCGUUGGGGGACGGCACACUCCCCCCGGCUUGCCGGGGACGCCGCCCCCGAAAUUCAGUGGCGGCCCUCGGAGGCGACCUCUGCGUAGUAACUCAACCUCGCAAAGGAAAGCUCCGAGCGGCCACGCCGUGAAACCCCAACUCUUCAAGGUUGACCUCGAAUCAGGUAGGACUACCCGCUGAACUUAA